UGCUGACAUAGUUUCUUUGUUAAAAUCUACCUGCAAGGUUGACUACGGUGAAGUGGUAAACUCCACACCUCAAGACUGCCUUCAAGAAGAAAAAAAAGGGGAUGAUGGCACUAAUAAGCUACAAGCACUGGGAAACUAAAUCAAGAAAAUGAACACAUAUAUAACUUGUGGUGCUCUGGAAUGGUGUGCUGUGAAGGAAUGCUCAUCCAGCUCAAGUUUCUCAAGAGGCAAGACCUACUGAACGUUCUUACGCACGUGAUGAGGCCAGCUUGUGACCAAGUGGUAUGUACUCACCCCUUCAGAUUAGCUGUGGUGAACGGAUGCCUUCCUUUGGUGUGGCUGUGCUGCUUUUUGUUGUGUCAAU
This 364-nucleotide long non-coding RNA is filed under the name Phasianus colchicus (ring-necked pheasant). Its description in RNAcentral is "lncRNA (ENSPCLG00000007823.1)". Lineage: Eukaryota; Metazoa; Chordata; Aves; Galliformes; Phasianidae. The record is from RNAcentral.